This 171-nucleotide unclassified non-coding RNA is filed under the name uncultured fungus. Its description in RNAcentral is "sequence contains ITS2". The record is from RNAcentral. Lineage: Eukaryota; Fungi.
CUCUCUCAAAAAAGAUUUUUUUUUUUUUUUUGGUAUUGCUCGUACUUGUUUUAAAGUUGAGUGAAAUGAAUUGGCAAGGCAGUUUUCUAGCUAUCAACGUAUUAGGUUUUACCAUUUCGUUGGAAGAGCAAAAAGACAAGCCGGGCGAUAUAACUGGGUUUUACCCAAAAU